RNAcentral lists this unclassified non-coding RNA (485 nucleotides) under 'Prunus dulcis' phytoplasma PAE28. RNAcentral's name for it is "partial contains 16S ribosomal RNA, 16S-23S ribosomal RNA intergenic spacer, and 23S ribosomal RNA". The stretch from base 1 to 291 matches the Rfam family "Bacterial small subunit ribosomal RNA", at positions 1246 to 1533 of the family's 1533-position model. Lineage: Bacteria; Bacillati; Mycoplasmatota; Mollicutes; Acholeplasmatales; Acholeplasmataceae. The record is from RNAcentral.
GUAGCUGACGCGAGUUUUUGCGCGACACUCACCAAACAGUCUCAGUUCGGAUUGAAGUCUGCAACUCGACUUCAUGAAGUUGGAAUCGCUAGUAAUCGCGAAUCAGCAUGUCGCGGUGAAUACGUUCUCGGGGUUUGUACACACCGCCCGUCAAACCACGAAAGUUGGCAAUACCCAAAGCCGGUGGCCUAACUUCGCAAGAAGAGGGAACCGUCUAAGGUAGGGUCGAUGAUUGGGGUUAAGUCGUAACAAGGUAUCCCUACCGGAAGGUGGGGAUGGAUCACCUCCUUUCUAAGGAAACAAUUAUCAUCUUCAGUUUUGAGAGACUUAAGAAAGUUUUUCAUUGUAACUUGCUUGCAAAUUGUAUUUGCAACAUUUUAAUCUUUUUAAGAUUAAGGGCCUAUAGCUCAGUUGGUUAGAGCACACGCCUGAUAAGCGUGAGGUCGGUGGUUCGAGUCCAUUUAGGCCCACCAAAACCACAAAUA